Molecule: ribosomal RNA, 450 nt
Filed under: uncultured bacterium
Lineage: Bacteria
Description: partial 16S ribosomal RNA
Rfam family: Bacterial small subunit ribosomal RNA
Source: RNAcentral
UGGCCAGACUCCUACGGGAGGCAGCAGUGGGGGAUAUUGCACAAUGGGGGAAACCCUGAUGCAGCGACGCCGCGUGGGCGAAGAAGUAUUUCGGUAUGUAAAGCCCUAUCAGCAGGGAAGAAGAAAUGACGGUACCUGAGUAAGAAGCACCGGCUAAAUACGUGCCAGCAGCCGCGGUAAUACGUAUGGUGCAAGCGUUAUCCGGAUUUACUGGGUGUAAAGGGAGCGCAGGUGGCAAGGCAAGCCAGAAGUGAAAACCCGGGGCUUAACCCCGCGGAUUGCUUUUGGAACUGUCUGGCUGGAGUGCAGGAGGGGCAGGCGGAAUUCCUGGUGUAGCGGUGAAAUGCGUAGAUAUCAGGAGGAACACCGGUGGCGAAGGCGGCCUGCUGGACUGUAACUGACACUGAGGCUCGAAAGCGUGGGGAGCGAACAGGAUUAGAUACCCGAGUA